This is a non-coding RNA of Schistosoma mansoni, 46 nucleotides long. The record is from Rfam. NCBI's taxonomy places the organism in Eukaryota, Metazoa, Platyhelminthes, Trematoda, Strigeidida, Schistosomatidae.
GCACUGCUUAGGUGUCCCGCAAUAGGACGAAACGGCCGUCCAGUGC